AGCUGGGGCUCAGUAGUUAAGUGACCUGGAUUCAAUCCCUGGUAGCAAAAAACAAACAACAAACCAAGGUCAGCAAAUGCUUUAAUCUGGUGUUUGUUUUUUUGCACACCCCAGACUUUCUAGACACCCUGCCUUUGGAGCUCAGCCCACUUCUCCUGGUAGAGGUACCUGCAACACAGGGAUCAAGCCGUCCAGCUCAGGAGACUCUGUGAAGAUGACAUGGGACUCCAGAAGCGAUGUGCCUGGCCAAGGAACCUAACAGAGAAGGCCAAGUCGGGGGAAAAUGCCAAGAUCAGGAGAUGUGUCCCUUCUGCCUUGUGAGGAGGAAAAUGGGGUCUCAUCCAAGGUCAGCAGCCAGGAAGUCCCAGCUCCAAAACCAGAGAGCUGAAAACCAACAACCGCCAUUUCCACUCUGUCCCUGAGAGCCGAGUCCAGGGAAGAAGAGGACAACUGGCUCCAGUCCCCUGUGGCCUGCGCCUUCGUCACCAAGGACACAAACACCAGAGGGGCGUCCUGAGUCACCACAGGUGGGGUGCAAUACCAUAAUGCCCCGAAGUCACAUCUGUUGGGCGGUUUUCUAAUUCACAGUGAUUCAGACUGGCAGGCAGGGCGUCCAGGUAAUGAGGAAGGGAACCGAGGAAUGUCUUGGGAGCGUGUGUCCUCCUUCAGGUGGGGAGACCAGGGCCUGAGCAGCUGCCACUGGCUGAAGUUACUUAGCUCCUGGGGAGUCCAACAAGGGCACUGGCCUCUGGCUCUCCAUCCAAUGCACUUGGACCCCACUGAGAGGCCUAACUGAAAAUGACCCAGCGCUGCUCUUUGUAAUCUUGGCAGUGAGGCUGUGAGCACUCCAGACCUAUGCGUGAGCCUUCCACCGACACACUGUGCGGGACUCCCCCUCCGCCGUCUACCUGUACAGGAAGCACCUUGGCUCAUCGGGAGGGACGCACUUUCUCCUUCUUCUGUUCUGGUGAGGUUCAGACCUCUAUGCCUGCAGCAAAGCUUGCUGAGAGACGGACAGGGUUUACACUCCUGGGUCCUUCACUGGUAGGAUAAGACAGGUCCAUGGAACUCAGCUGCUGGACGUUAGGACCGUGCAAAUGGCCACACUGGUAUUCCAGAUCACCACUGGCUGUCCUUAAGCUACCAACUCAAGGUCCUCGACUCCAGUUCUUCUUACCCAUCUUAUUAUUGCAUCCGUUGACGUAAUGAACAUUUAAAACCCCUUUAAGUCAGGCAUGGAGCCUCUAGUCCCAGCUACUAGGCAGGUGGAGGCAGGCAGAUUGCUUGAGCCCAAGAAUUCAACACCAGCCUGGACAGCACAGCAAGACCCUGUUUCACCAGACAGACAGACAAAACGAAAAUCCUCUUAAGGGAACUUUUUGUUUGGUUCCAUUUACUGACAGAGUGAACUGAACUUCUUUAAAAUUAUGUUUCUACCACCGGGCACAGGGGCACACACUGUAAUCCCAGCAGCUCGGGAGGCUGAGGCAGGAGGAUCGUGAGUUCAAAGCCAGCCUCAGAAACUUAGUGACGGGCCACACUUCCUAAGGACAUCCCACUGAAGAGAGGUUCUCUGCUGGCUCUGUGUGGCUCUCCUGUAGGGAUCUCAAAUUAAAUAGGUCCCAAGUGGGAUCCACAUGAACAAGCUCCCUGGCAUUCAGAUUUAACUGGUGUUCUGCGUUUGUAUUGAUUAAAAGGAGGCAAUUCUUCCCAUAGGUCACCCUUUCGUUGGUCCUGCAAAGGAUGUCCUGAUGGCACAUAGCCUUAGUUAACAGCCACGACUACCUUCUGUCUGUCUCCAAGGUCAAGAUCUUAGGUUCUUCAAUGAGCUACUCUCCCUCACCCUCAUUUUUCAUAUGUAUCUGAUAGGAUUUAUCUCUGUAAUACUUUAUUUUAAAAAUCCUACAUUUUGUUCAUUUUUUUAAACAAAAAAUUCCUCUUCUCACUACCAAAACAAAACAAAACUAACAGUUUCUCCCCUCAGAAAACCAAGGGACAUAUACUUAUCCUCCCCCACCCACAAACAGUACACUUGAUCACAUCCCUCGCUCUUGACCUGGCUGUGGCUCUGCCCUUUCUGAUGUCCGUCAGCACACCCGCUCCACACACCGGCUCCAGGAGGGCAGAGGACGGUGGGGCUCCCACCCACGGCUCAUGUACGCCCCGCCCAGGCCCAGGGCCCUGAACACACCAGAACUCAAUGCAUACUUGCUGCAAUAACUGAGUGAGUACAGAUUCAGCAAGGAGAAGGGACGAAAAGAGAAAGCACAUCUGCUAGUGGAAGGUGAGGCUGAAGGAGGAGGCUUGGGGGGAAGCCCAGCGUUCUCUUGCUGCAGUCAGCCCUGUGUCCAUGGCUUCCCGUGGAUCAAAAUACUCAAGAAAAAAAAUGGCAUCAGUGCUGGACACACAUGAACUUCCCUCUCGUGGUCAUCCCUAAAUGAUGCAGAAUAAAACUCUUUGUGUUAUGAGUCAUCUAGAGAUGAUUGAAAGUACACAGAGACGUGAGCAGGGGCUGUGCAGUAUUACACCAUUGCAUAUAGGGGACUGGAGAUCAGGGAUGUCGCUGUCUCCGGAGGGUUCUGAAACGCAUCCCCUAUGAAUACUGAGGGAUGACUCUACAGAUGGGCCACAUAACCAUCCCACACGUACGGAAGGAAGAUUUGUCUCCUCCCAAUGACCGGCCUCCAUCCCUGCUUCCCAAAUCUCUAAUCACCUCCCUAAGUCAAGGACCAGCACUGUGGGGUCCACACCAGGGUCUGGGACCCUCACUUCCUUUGAGAGAGAGGAGCGCGUGCUGACCUGGC
This is a non-coding RNA of Ictidomys tridecemlineatus (thirteen-lined ground squirrel), 2804 nucleotides long. The record is from RefSeq and is a predicted model, not a curated record. Lineage: Eukaryota; Metazoa; Chordata; Mammalia; Rodentia; Sciuridae.